Molecule: ribosomal RNA, 485 nt
Filed under: Furcifer minor
Lineage: Eukaryota; Metazoa; Chordata; Lepidosauria; Squamata; Chamaeleonidae
Description: partial 16S ribosomal RNA
Rfam family: Bacterial large subunit ribosomal RNA
Source: RNAcentral
GGAAGUACCGCCUGCCCUGUGGAAACCUAAACGGCCGCGGCAUUAAAACCGUGCAAAGGUAGCACAAUCACUUGUCCCUUAAAUGAGGACGCGUAUGAAAGGCAACAUGAGAGAAGACCUGUCUCCUGAGGACCGCCAAUGAAAUUGAUCUACCAGUCCAAAAGCUGGUAUAAACAAGCAAGACAAAAAGACCCUGUGGAACUUUAAUUAACUGAUUUUAUCUUAGCACUAACCAGUAAUUUUAGUUGGGACAACUUUAGAAAAAAUAAACUUCCUAAAUCUAUAAAGACUUACUAGUCCAAAACCACUAUGACCCAGUAAUACUGAUCAACGAAAUAAGCUACCCCAGGGAUAACAGCGCCACCUUCUAAAAGAGUCCAUAUCAACAAGAAGAUCUACGACCUCGAUGUUGGAUCAGGGUACCCAGACGGUGCAGCAGCUGUCAAUGGUUCGUUUGUUCAACGACUAACACCCUACGUGAUCUG